UCGAGGAGCUGGCGGCCGAGAUCGUCGCGGCCGGCGGCACGCCGCCUGCAGUCGUCACCGAGGAUCUGACCGCCGACGGCGCAACGGAACGCAUUCGCGACCGCGUGCUCGAAGCGUUCGGCGGCAGGCUCGACGUGCUCGUCAACAACGCGGGCAGCUCGCGGCCGGUGCCAUGGAAUGCGACCGAGGAACAGUGGCACGAGGGCAUGCGCCUGAACUUCGAGCUCGUGCGCCGGUUGACGAACCAGUUCAUUCCGCAAAUGCGUACGCAGCGCUUCGGCCGCAUCAUCAACAUCACGGGCGCCAACGAGCCGCCUGGCGUCAACAUCGCGUCGGUCGCAAAGGCAGCGCUGCACAACUGGGCGAAGGGGUUGUCCCGCGAGCUCGCGCAGGACGGCAUCACGAUCAAUUGCUUGCCGCCGGGGCGCAUCAAUAGCGAGCAGAUCUUGGGCCGGUUGCACCCGACGGAAGACAAUCGCCGCGCCUUCAUCGCGGCCAACAUACCGAUCGGCUACUUCGGCGAGCCCGAGGACAUGGCGUACCUCGUGGCCUUUCUGGCGUCGCCGCUUGCGCGCUACAUCACGGGCGAGAUCAUCCACGUCGACGGCGGCAUGCACCGCUUCGCCGGCUGAGAAGGCGGCCGCGCACAUUCCGCGUUGCCCUUCGAGUAGCCGUGGGUGCAAGCUUCCCGCGUUGACGGCGCGAGGAAUCGACAUGAGCUCACGCCUCUGUUCCUGGCUCAUCGGCGGCUUGGCCCUGAUGACGUCUUCCUCGGUCCUGGCCCAUCACUCGGUCGCGUAUUACUCGAGCGAUAGGCUCGAGCUCGCAGGUGAGAUCACCGCAAUCCGCUGGCAGAACCCGCAUAUCCACUUCGAGCUGCGGACGAUCGGUAGCGACGGCGCCGCAACAACCUGGCAGCUCGAGAGCAGCGCGAUUUACCUGCGCGAGAAAGACGGCGUAACGCGCGACCUGUUUCGCGUCGGCGACCGCGUCAAAGUGUUCGGGAGAACGUCGUCGCACGACGCCGCGGCGCUGCUCGUCACGAACAUGCUGCUACCGGACGGGCGGGAAGCGCCGCUCUGGCCGAAUACGGGGCCGCACUUCGUGAGUGAGGGGAAAUGGAUCACCGCCACGCCCAAGCUCGUCGACGCGGCGGCGGAAAAUCGCGGGAUCUUCAGAGUGUGGCGGCCGAA
This 1193-nucleotide unclassified non-coding RNA is filed under the name uncultured fungus. RNAcentral's name for it is "sequence contains 18S rRNA gene, ITS1, 5.8S rRNA gene, ITS2, 28S rRNA gene". Lineage: Eukaryota; Fungi. The record is from RNAcentral.